UGAGUCUCCCAUAGUGACAGAGGCUUUUAUCUUCCUUUCUUAGUGCUUCGGUGGCUAGUGUCUCCUAGACUUCUGAGGAGCAUUUAGUUCAACCAAAGUGUAUUUUCAAAUCUAUUCCUAAAAUAACUUUGAAGACUCCAAGUUAUGACUUCAUAAUCUGAUAGAAACAAAACAAAUUUGAUUAUUUUCUGAGUUAGAGUACACCUUUGAACCUGUAUGUUAUCUCACAGAAAGAAGGUAAAUCCUUACUAACCCGAAGCAAAAUUAAAUAUGCAGAUAAAAUGCUGGUGAAAUGCUAUUUUGCAUAGAUCUAAAUAGUUUAAUUUGCCAGUUUUGUGAGUCAGGCAGAUGCAGUUCAUUUCGAAGCAGCCUUUGGGUCUUUUCACAUGAUUUGGCUAUUCUUAGAUUUCUGAGUCAUUCUGUCCUCCAUGCUAGUCAUUUUUCAAUUCCAUAUUCUCUAUUCAUGAGGGAGAUACAGAUACAACAUUAACGUAUCCAAAUUUGGCUAUGUGGCUUAAUACUCCGAGCAAACAGGCUAUAUAUUCAUUUCUAUUCUUAGCAAUACCUUGGGACAAGUUGAAUGUAAAUAAAAUAUUUGGGCAAUACACUGUAACACUGUAGAUUUCUGGUAAGUGAUGCCAGGAAACCUUGGCAUGCACAUUAUUGCAUAAUUGUUUUGAUUCUAUUUGACUAUCCUCUUAACAACUAAAAUCCCAAAGCAAUAGGAAUACUUACAAAAGGAACAGAAAUGUGGAUAACAUGGGAUGAGCCAAAAGACUCGGCCAAUGUUUUAUCCAACAGAAACAGCAUCUCUGAAAGACUAAUGCAGGCAGUACAUUGAUACCCAUAAGAAUAAAUUCACAGGAAAUGAAAUGUCCUUUAACAAACUGAGGAUACUAGUACAAUCUUUAUCCAAGGAAUCGUUAGGAAAACUCAGAAGCAUAGGUACAAAUAGGAUUGUCAGGGCACUGAGGAGUGUAAUUGGGUUGGUGAAUUCAGCAGAGAAGAAUGGAGAGAAUCCACCAGAUGAAUUAAGGAUUCUGAUGCUUCACUGGAGAGGAGCGUCUCUGAUCCUCACGUGAUGAAAUCAAGUGUUCACCAAACUGAUGCUCCUUGAGGAUACAGGUUGUGCCUUCCUUAUCUUUGUAACUCUAUUGCCCAUCAGAAUGUCUGGCAUAUAGUGGACAUUCAAGGAAUUCCUGUUGAACUGAAAGAAACUUCAGUGGGAGGGUAAAGCAGAUCUGACACCCUUCCAUUCAGAAAAGCCAGCACGUCAUUGAAAGCACCUCAUUCCCUCCAGCCAGCCUUCAGCUCUGCACUUCACAUCAACCACUCUGAAAAUUACAGUGGAGACAAAGGAUUGAGCCUGUCCAAUUUUUCACUUCUUCCUUCAUUUUCUUUUUCUAUCAGGAAACUUUAGGCUACCAUAUCUGCUUCAGCAGAAGGAGAAUCUCAGCUCUGGAGAGUUGCCCUCCAGGUGAAGCAUUAGGCUUUGAUACAAUGUGUCCGGUGCAGGCUGUAGAUCCUGGCCUCAAGAAUCAGAACCAACUUGGAAUAACUCUUGGCCCACUCAGCCAGCACCUUUCCGGAAGCCAGAAGAAUGAAGUGCCAAACAUAUCAUCAGAGAUAAUUCCAAGAAAGAGGGAAUGGUCUAUAGUGUCUCAGGCCACAGCUACUGGAAGUCCACUUUUUGGAACUGUUAUGUUUACUGUUGGGGAGUGACUUUGGCACCAAGGAGAACUUGGCUCAAAUCACUGGUUCCAUCAAAUCCAGCAUUAUUUGAAAUCAAAAUCUUGAUAAUGAUGCAACCAUUUGGCUUGAUGAAAUUAAAUACCUGGACUCAAAAAGAAAAUAAACGGAGUGGAGAGAACAAAAGCAACAAAGAAAUAAAAAUUGUA
This is a non-coding RNA of Macaca mulatta (Rhesus monkey), 1898 nucleotides long. NCBI's taxonomy places the organism in Eukaryota, Metazoa, Chordata, Mammalia, Primates, Cercopithecidae. The record is from RefSeq and is a predicted model, not a curated record.